Molecule: ribosomal RNA, 253 nt
Filed under: uncultured bacterium
Lineage: Bacteria
Description: partial 16S ribosomal RNA
Rfam family: Bacterial small subunit ribosomal RNA
Source: RNAcentral
UACAGAGGGUGCGAGCGUUGUUCGGAAUUAUUGGGCGUAAAGGGCGCGUAGGCGGUGCGGUAAGUCACCUGUGAAAUCUCCUGGCUCAACUGGGAGCUUGCAGGCGAAACUGCCGUGCUGGAGUGUGGGAGAGGUGCGUGGAAUUCCUGGUGUAGCGGUGAAAUGCGUAGAUAUCAGGAGGAACACCUGUGGCGAAAGCGGCGCACUGGACCGCAACUGACGCUGAGGCGCGAAAGCGAGGGGAGCAAACAGG